GAUGAACGCUGGCGGCGUGCCUAACACAUGCAAGUCGAGCGAACAGAUAAGGAGCUUUCUCCUUUGACGUUAGCGGCGGACGGGUGAGUAACACGUGGGUAACCUACCUAUAAGACUGGGAUAAUUUCGGGAAACCGGAUCUAAUACCGGAUAACAUUUGGAACCGCAUGGUUCUAAAGUGAAAGUUGGUUUUUCUAUCACUUAUAGAUGGACCCGCGCCGUAUUAGCUAGUUGGUAAGGUAACGGCUUACCAAGGCGACGAUACGUAGCCGACCUGAGAGGGUGGUCGGACGGACUGGAACUGAGGCACGGUCGAGACUCCUGCGGGAGGACGCAGUAGGGACUCUUCCGCAAUGGGCGAAAGCCUGACGGAGCAACGCCGCGUGAGUGAUGAAGGAGUUCGGCUCGUAAAACUCUGUUAUUAGGGAAGAAGAAAUGUGUAAGUAACUGUGCACGUCUUGACGGUACCUAAUCAGAAAGCCACGGCUAACUCCGUG
RNAcentral lists this ribosomal RNA (497 nucleotides) under uncultured bacterium. RNAcentral's name for it is "partial 16S ribosomal RNA". It matches the Rfam family "Bacterial small subunit ribosomal RNA", at positions 28 to 507 of the family's 1533-position model. The record is from RNAcentral.